RNAcentral lists this long non-coding RNA (456 nucleotides) under Hordeum vulgare. Its description in RNAcentral is "long non-coding RNA (HVUL_LNC008656)". Lineage: Eukaryota; Viridiplantae; Streptophyta; Magnoliopsida; Poales; Poaceae. The record is from RNAcentral.
UGCUUUUUUAUAGUAAGGUUGUAUCACCAAAACAAGACAUACAUAAAACUAAAUAAAUGAAGUAAACAUAUUUAGUAGAAAUGCUAUGCAUGGUGGUCCCAUUGUCUUGCUUGUUGGUUCUCCAAUAGGCUCUCCUGCCGCCCUCGCUUCCGCCCGCCAUGAUUUCUGGGCCAAAACCCAGCGCAGGACACGGUUCCGCGAUGUUCUCUUGGGAAAAUCUGGUAGGUACUCGGCGAGCGUGAAGGCGAAGAAGCAGAUUAUGGUGGGGACCUUUGAUACUAUCAAGGAAGCCAUCCAAGUACAAGCGGACAAGCUACACAUGCUUGAAGGUUCGAAGGCAAGCAAGCAGGGUCACAGAACCAAACUUCUAAAAGUCAAACAAAUGAUAAGUGUUUAUGCUUGAGCGAAUUGUUCAUAUUAAAUUGGAUUAGUUACAAAUCAAUUUGAACAUUAUGU